AGAUAUUACACACUGAUCGUGGGUGCGAAUGAGAGACGGUGGAGAAGAGUAAGGACCAGCUCAAAGUGGUGGCAGACUCUUUCAGGCUGCUUGACAUUUGAAAUGGCAUAGUUGAGUUGCAGAAUAAUUUUUUCUGGAAGUAGUGAUUUUGUGUAUUGAUUUGUAUUUUUAUCAUCUUAAAGGUGAAACAGCUACUAUUUGAAGAAGAGUGUAUAUA
This 217-nucleotide long non-coding RNA is filed under the name Actinidia chinensis (golden kiwifruit). RNAcentral's name for it is "long non-coding RNA (ACHI_LNC005547)". Lineage: Eukaryota; Viridiplantae; Streptophyta; Magnoliopsida; Ericales; Actinidiaceae. The record is from RNAcentral.